This 277-nucleotide unclassified non-coding RNA is filed under the name uncultured fungus. Its description in RNAcentral is "sequence contains ITS1". Lineage: Eukaryota; Fungi. The record is from RNAcentral.
UGGCGAGUUGCCGACGGCGUCGCCUAAACAGCGCCGGGACCAGUGCAUUUCACGUUUGGCGAAGACUUAUCGAAACGUCGCCGUUCACCGUUGUUCCCGUCAACGACCCAACUCACCGGAGCGGUGCGACAACUCGAGGAGAACAUCAUGAAACUUGCACGUAUCGCACGGGCGGCCGCCGUGGCGGCACUGUCAGGAGCGACGGCAUUGGCUGUCGGCGGACUCGUGCAGCCCGCAGUCGCGUACGCAGUGUGGGAUAUCGAGUUCUACGACCUAU